CUAUUAAUUAUAUUUCUAUAGUAUAACUACAAUAAUUAAUACUAUUUUUAAAAUGUAUUUUAUUAUUAUUAUUUUUUUUAUCUUUGGUCAGUACAAGGUGUCCAUAAGAAGUCUGUUGCAGUGACUUUCAAAAUCUUAACAGUCAUACAAUUUACAGUCACCAUCUACGACCUUGAGUGCAAGUCCACAGACCAACAACAGACGAACUGCUGGAAGUCUCCUGAAGUCUGGUAAACUACAGCACAGCUGGAACCACUGGGCCUGGCCUACCAAAACUACUGUUACAAGCAUUCACAGCUUUAUUAUGAAUAUAAGCCUCAAAUAAAAGUUGAACUAGGGCUUUAAUUUAAAAACAAGAGACAAAAAAAACAAGAAACUGAACGAUUAUUAAAUGUUCCGAUCAAGACCAGACUGCAUUUUUAUCUGAAGUCAUGUGAAGGAAAGCUGUG
This 449-nucleotide long non-coding RNA is filed under the name Astyanax mexicanus (Mexican tetra). Its description in RNAcentral is "lncRNA (ENSAMXG00005018758.1)". The record is from RNAcentral. Lineage: Eukaryota; Metazoa; Chordata; Actinopteri; Characiformes; Acestrorhamphidae.